Nicotiana attenuata is the source of this 436-nucleotide long non-coding RNA. RefSeq lists it as uncharacterized. The transcript has 2 exons. Lineage: Eukaryota; Viridiplantae; Streptophyta; Magnoliopsida; Solanales; Solanaceae. The record is from RefSeq and is a predicted model, not a curated record.
AGGUCAAAUGCAAAUGAAGAACAACAAUCAGAAUUAGGAUCUCAAUUGCAAGAACAGGUGCAGCAAGUGCCACGGAAUUCAGCGUCUAAACCCAGAAUUGCGACUUGAUCCUGACAUGCUAAGGUUCGUAUAAGCUUCCUCUGCACACCAAGCUGCCGUUCAACUAAACAAUCGACCAUAUGCUGGUAGUAACAAUCAAGGUGGAGUAAAUCAAGAAAUCGAAGAAGAUGAUGAAAGUGAAGAACUAGACCUUACUUGAGAUUGAAUUUUGAAUGGCUAUAGAUGAAUGUUCUAUAGGAAUCUUUUGUUAUCAACCUUUUUGAAACUAAUUACUCUCUUGAAAUGUAUUAAACUUAUGCAUUUGGGGUAGAACAUUUGCUUUAUAUGAAUACUAUUUGCUUGAUGGAUAAUUUGUAUUAUUAAAAGUUUGAUUUUA